GACGAACGCUGGCGGCGUGCCUAACACAUGCAAGUCGAACGAUGAAGCCUUAGCUUGCUUUGGUGGAUUAGUGGCGAACGGGUGAGUAACACGUGAGCAACGUGCCCAGGACUCUGGAAUAACCGCGGGAAACCGUGGCUAAUACCGGAUAGGUGCCGAGGCCGCAUGGUCUUCGGUUGGAAAGUUUUUGCGGUUCUGGAUCGGCUCACGGCCUAUCAGCUUGUUGGUGGGGUAAUGGCCUACCAAGGCGACGACGGGUAGCCGGCCUGAGAGGGUGACCGGCCACACUGGGACUGAGACACGGCCCAGACUCCUACGGGAGGCAGCAGUGGGGAAUAUUGCACAAUGGGCGCAAGCCUGAUGCAGCAACGCCGCGUGGGGGAUGACGGCCUUCGGGUUGUAAACCUCUUUUAGUAGGGAAGAAGCGCAAGUGACGGUACCUGCAGAAAAAGCACCGGCUAACUACGUG
RNAcentral lists this ribosomal RNA (469 nucleotides) under uncultured bacterium. Its description in RNAcentral is "partial 16S ribosomal RNA". It matches the Rfam family "Bacterial small subunit ribosomal RNA", at positions 28 to 507 of the family's 1533-position model. The record is from RNAcentral.